AUGAACGCUAGCGACAGGCCUAACACAUGCAAGUCGAGGGGCAUCGGGGUGUAGCAAUACGCUGCCGGCGACCGGCGGAUGGGUGAGUAACGCGUAUGCAACCUGCCUUCAGCAGGGGGAUAGCCCGUUGAAAGACGGAUUAAUACCCCAUAACACAGGGGCUCCGCAUGGAGAUUAUUGUUAAAGGGAUACUUCCUUCGGGGGGUAUUCCGGCUGAAGAUGGGCAUGCGUUCCAUUAGGUAGUUGGUUGAGGUAACGGCUCACCAAGCCUGCGAUGGAUAGGGGAACUGAGAGGUUGGUCCCCCACACUGGUACUGAGACACGGACCAGACUCCUACGGGAGGCAGCAGUGAGGAAUCUUGGUCAAUGGACGGAAGUCUGAACCAGCCAUGUCGCGUGAAGGAGGACGGCCCUAAGGGUUGUAAACUUCUUUUGCAGGGGAAUAAAGUAUUCCACGAGAUGGGAUAUUGCAAGUACGCUGCGAAUAAGGAUCGGCUAACUCCGUG
Molecule: ribosomal RNA, 506 nt
Filed under: uncultured bacterium
Lineage: Bacteria
Description: bacterial SSU rRNA
Rfam family: Bacterial small subunit ribosomal RNA
Source: RNAcentral